Molecule: ribosomal RNA, 94 nt
Filed under: Pseudomonas mosselii
Lineage: Bacteria; Pseudomonadati; Pseudomonadota; Gammaproteobacteria; Pseudomonadales; Pseudomonadaceae
Source: RNAcentral
AACCACCUGAUCCCAUCCCGAACUCAGCAGUGAAACGAUGCAUCGCCGAUGGUAGUGUGGGGCUUCCCCAUGUGAGAUUAGGUCAUCGUCAAGA